This 426-nucleotide ribosomal RNA is filed under the name uncultured bacterium. RNAcentral describes it as "bacterial SSU rRNA". It matches the Rfam family "Bacterial small subunit ribosomal RNA", at positions 356 to 773 of the family's 1533-position model. The record is from RNAcentral.
GGGGAAUAUUGGACAAUGGGGGGAACCCUGAUCCAGCCAUGCCGCGUGUGUGAAGAAGGCCUUAUGGUUGUAAAGCACUUUAAGCGAGGAGGAGGCUACUUUGGUUAAUACCUAAAGAUAGUGGACGUUACUCGCAGAAUAAGCACCGGCUAACUCUGUGCCAGCAGCCGCGGUAAUACAGAGGGUGCGAGCGUUAAUCGGAUUUACUGGGCGUAAAGCGUACGUAGGCGGCUUUUUAAGUCGGAUGUGAAAUCCCUGAGCUUAACUUAGGAAUUGCAUUCGAUACUGGGAAGCUAGAGUAUGGGAGAGGAUGGUAGAAUUCCAGGUGUAGCGGUGAAAUGCGUAGAGAUCUGGAGGAAUACCGAUGGCGAAGGCAGCCAUCUGGCCUAAUACUGACGCUGAGGUACGAAAGCAUGGGGAGCAAAC